UGGGGAAUUUUCCGCAAUGGGCGAAAGCCUGACGGAGCAAUACCGCGUGAGGGACGACGGCUUUUGGGUUGUAAACCUCUUUUCCCUGGGAAGAAGAUCUGACGGUACCAGGGGAAUCAGCAUCGGCUAACUUCGUGCCAGCAGCCGCGGUAAUACGAGGGAUGCAAGCGUUAUCCGGAAUUAUUGGGCGUAAAGCGUCCGCAGGUGGCUCUGUAAGUCUGUCGUUAAAGCGUGGAGCUUAACUCCAUAUCGGCGAUGGAAACUACAAGGCUAGAGUUUGGUAGGGGUCACGGGAAUUCUUAGUGUAGCGGUGAAAUGCGUAGAUAUUAAGAAGAACACCAGCGGCGAAAGCGCGUGACUGGGCCAAUACUGACACUCAUGGACGAAAGCCAGGGGAGCGAAAGGG
Molecule: ribosomal RNA, 406 nt
Filed under: uncultured Pseudanabaenaceae cyanobacterium
Lineage: Bacteria; Bacillati; Cyanobacteriota; Cyanophyceae; Pseudanabaenales; Pseudanabaenaceae
Description: bacterial SSU rRNA
Rfam family: Bacterial small subunit ribosomal RNA
Source: RNAcentral